UGAGGAAUAUUGCGCAAUGGACGAAAGUCUGACGCAGCCACGCCGCGUGCAGGAAGACACCCCUCAGGGGCGUAAACUGCUUUUGUAUGGGAAGAACACCCCUCCUCGGAGGGGUCUGACGGUACCAUACGAAUAAGGACCGGCUAACUCCGUGCCAGCAGCCGCGGUAAUACGGAGGGUCCAAGCGUUGUCCGGAAUCACUGGGUGUAAAGGGUGCGCAGGCGGGCGUGUAAGUCAGGGGUGAAAGCCACCGGCCCAACCGGUGAACUGCCCUUGAUACUGCACGUCUUGAGUCCCGGAGAGGCUAUCGGAAUUCGUGGUGUAGCGGUGAAAUGCGUAAAUAUCACGAGGAACACCUGAUGCGUAGGCGGAUAGCUGGACGGGUACUGACGCUCAGGCACGAAAGCGUGGGGAGCGAACAGGAUUAGAUACCCCCGUAGUCC
RNAcentral lists this ribosomal RNA (443 nucleotides) under uncultured prokaryote. RNAcentral describes it as "bacterial SSU rRNA". It matches the Rfam family "Bacterial small subunit ribosomal RNA", at positions 355 to 796 of the family's 1533-position model. The record is from RNAcentral.